UACGAAGGGGGCUAGCGUUGUUCGGAAUUACUGGGCGUAAAGGGCGCGUAGGCGGCCGAACCAGUCGGGGGUGAAAGCCUGUGGCUUAACCACAGAAUUGCCUUCGAUACUGUUUGGCUUGAGACCGGAAGAGGUUAGUGGAACUGCGAGUGUAGGGGUGAAAUUCGUAGAUAUUCGCAAGAACACCAGUGGCGAAGGCGGCUGACUGGUCCGGAUCUGACGCUGAGGCGCGAAAGCGUGGGGAGCAAACAGG
RNAcentral lists this ribosomal RNA (253 nucleotides) under uncultured bacterium. Its description in RNAcentral is "partial 16S ribosomal RNA". It matches the Rfam family "Bacterial small subunit ribosomal RNA", at positions 524 to 776 of the family's 1533-position model. The record is from RNAcentral.